CACGUAGGGAGCAAGCGUUGUCCGGAUUUAUUGGGCGUAAAGAGCUCGUAGGCGGCUCAGUAAGUCGGGUGUGAAACCUCCAGGCUCAACCUGGAGACGCCAUCCGAUACUGCUGUGGCUAGAGUCCGGUAGGGGAGCGUGGAAUUCCUGGUGUAGCGGUGAAAUGCGCAGAUAUCAGGAGGAACACCAGCGGCGAAGGCGGCGCUCUGGGCCGGAACUGACGCUGAGGAGCGAAAGCGUGGGGAGCGAACAGG
Molecule: ribosomal RNA, 254 nt
Filed under: uncultured bacterium
Lineage: Bacteria
Description: partial 16S ribosomal RNA
Rfam family: Bacterial small subunit ribosomal RNA
Source: RNAcentral